CAGGAAAGGGCCCUGACAAGAGGAUGGGACUGCAGUUGUGGCUGCCAGGAACAGGGCCCCGGCCAGGGUGAAAACAAGGAACAUUCCAGAGAAGAUCACAAGGAUGCGAAUAAAAUCGGAGCUGCACAGGGAUCUUUGGGCUGUUGGAGUGCAGUGGCACGAUCUCGGCUCAGUGCAACCUCCGCCUCCUGAGUUCAAGUGAUUCUCCUGCCUCAGCCUCCCUAGUAGCUGGGAUUACAGGACAAGGAGAGGGACAAAUUCCUUCUUGGCAUCCUUAUGGCCCUGUGACCUGCUAAUGAAUGCUGACUCUGAGUUGCUACUAGAAUUUGGUUUCCUUGUGGCUUCCCAGGAAUUGGUCUCACUCUGCUCACUCUGUCUCCCAAGCUGGAGUGCAGUGGUACAGUCACGGCUCACUGCAGCCUCCACUUCCUGGACUCAAGUGAUCUUCUCACUUCAGCCUUCUGAGUAGCUGGGACUACAGCCCCCUCUGCAGCUCUUCAUGGGGGUCCACUCAAGUCAGAAGCCACAUUUGGGUGUGAUUCAGAGAGCUGUUUAUGCAAAACCAGCUUUGUCACCAUCAGGCAAGGCACCUGAAUUCCCACCGCAGAGAGUGUUGUGGCCGUGAGGACUUUUCUGUCACCAGCCAUUUCCAGGUAGACCCAGUGUAAUCACAAGCAUCCUUGUAAGUGGCAAAGAGGCAGAGGAGACAGCGCCAGAGAGGCAGCUGCAUGAGAAGGAUCAAGAUGUUGCUGACUUUGAAGUUGGAAGAAGAAGGCCAUGAGCCUCAGUAUGUGGGCGGCUUCUAGAAGCUGGAAGGGGCAAGGAGAUGGAUUUGACCCUUCAGCCUCCAGGGGCAGCUGUACCUGCCAUCACUGAUUGUAGCCUGGUGAGGCCUGUUUUAGACUUCUGACCUGUAGAGCUGUAACAUAAUACAUUUGGGUUGUUUUCAACCACUAAGUUUGUGGUAAUUUGUUGUAGCAGCUGUAGAAAAUGAAUACAUAUGAAUCCUCUGGCAUUUGUUUGAGAUUUGCUCUAUGGCCUAGUAUGUGGUUGUAAAUGUUCCAUCUGUGCCUGAAAAAAUGUAUAUUUCUAAUUCAGUAGUCUCUGCUUUUUUUUUUUAUUUUGUACCCCAUCAAUAAAAUGAUUUUCAGCAUGUAUCCCCAAAUAAACAAUAUUUUAUUUAUUGAUUGAUUGAUAAACAGACAUGUUUAAUGAUAGCUUGCUUUUCACAGAGGUGACUUCGGAGACUUCU
RNAcentral lists this long non-coding RNA (1252 nucleotides) under Homo sapiens (human). Its description in RNAcentral is "HSALNT0366410". Lineage: Eukaryota; Metazoa; Chordata; Mammalia; Primates; Hominidae. The record is from RNAcentral.